GUAGCCAAAAAUGGACUGGCACGUGUAUGACGAUCCUGAGGCCACGGGUUCAAAUCCUGGCCUU
Molecule: transfer RNA, 64 nt
Filed under: Heterosigma akashiwo
Lineage: Eukaryota; Raphidophyceae; Chattonellales; Chattonellaceae
Source: RNAcentral